This is a non-coding RNA of Myotis lucifugus (little brown bat), 76 nucleotides long. NCBI's taxonomy places the organism in Eukaryota, Metazoa, Chordata, Mammalia, Chiroptera, Vespertilionidae. The record is from Rfam.
GAGACACCCUUAUGGGGCAAGACUUGCUUCAGUGGGGCUUUGGUGCUCCCUGAGUCUGCCCCCUGAGUGUGUCCCU